This 250-nucleotide ribosomal RNA is filed under the name uncultured prokaryote. RNAcentral's name for it is "partial 16S ribosomal RNA". It matches the Rfam family "Bacterial small subunit ribosomal RNA", at positions 524 to 773 of the family's 1533-position model. The record is from RNAcentral.
UACGGAGGAUACAAGCGUUAUCCGGAUUUAUUGGGUUUAAAGGGUGCGCAGGCGGACCGGUAAGUCAGGGGUGAAAUACUGCAGCUCAACUGCAGCCGUGCCUUUGAUACUGCCGGACUGGAGUCCAAGGGACGUGACUGGAAUGUGAUGUGUAGCGGUGAAAUGCUUAGAUAUGUCACAGAACGCCGAUCGUGAAGACAGGUCACGAACUUGGCACUGACGCUCAUGCACGAAAGCGUGGGUAUCAAAC